This 253-nucleotide ribosomal RNA is filed under the name uncultured bacterium. Its description in RNAcentral is "partial 16S ribosomal RNA". It matches the Rfam family "Bacterial small subunit ribosomal RNA", at positions 524 to 776 of the family's 1533-position model. The record is from RNAcentral.
UACGAAGGGGGCUAGCAUUGCUCGGAAUCACUGGGCGUAAAGGGCGCGUAGGCGGAUCUUUAAGUCGGGGGUGAAAGCCCAGGGCUCAACCCUGGAAUUGCCUUCGAUACUGAAGAUCUCGAGACCGGAAGAGGUAAGUGGAACUGCGAGUGUAGAGGUGAAAUUCGUAGAUAUUCGCAAGAACACCCGUGGCGAAGGCGGCCAGCUGGGCCGGGUCCGACGCUGAGGCGCGAAAGCGUGGGGAGCAAACAGG